This 53-nucleotide transfer RNA is filed under the name Neoscona adianta. RNAcentral describes it as "tRNA-Ser". Lineage: Eukaryota; Metazoa; Arthropoda; Arachnida; Araneae; Araneidae. The record is from RNAcentral.
CUAGAAUAGUUUAUAUGAAGCUUCUAACUUCUAGAUUAGCGGUAGCUACUAAG